RNAcentral lists this long non-coding RNA (1429 nucleotides) under Medicago truncatula (barrel medic). RNAcentral's name for it is "long non-coding RNA (MTRU_LNC005702)". The record is from RNAcentral. Lineage: Eukaryota; Viridiplantae; Streptophyta; Magnoliopsida; Fabales; Fabaceae.
UAAACCUUGUUAAAUUCAUUUCAAACUUGCAUCUGAGUCAGUGUCAAGUCAAUUUGAAUCUGUUUAGGUCAUUUUUAGCCCUAGGGGCAUUUUGGUCAUUUCACACAAAAUUUCGGCAUAGAGAGGUUACUUUGAAGUACCUCAUUUAAGCCAUUGAUUCGUUUUGUCAAUUUUAUUUUUUGUUUCGCUUUACGUUUGGUCAAAUUACGUUUUUUAUUCAAUUUUAUUUUUAAUUGCAUUUUGGUCCCUCAAUUGAGGUCCCAAAAUUGCAUUUUUUGUCCAAACAGUUUUUAAUUUCAUUUCAGUCCUUACUUUCAUUUUCCAGUCCUUUUUUAUUAUUUUUUUUGCAGAAAAGGUCCCAGGGGCAUUUUUGUCCAGAAUUUUCGCACACUUCAGUCUCAGUCCAGAUGGCAUUUUCUCAUUGGCCCACAAAUACACAUGGCAGGCUAUAAAUAGAUGUGUCAGAUCCAAAUAAAAAAAUCAGAAUCAGUCACAUCACAAAAACAUAAAUUUCUUUCUCUCUCCAAAAUCAGUUAGAUCCAAAACAGAAAAUCACCAAAAAAUUCUCCAAGAACACCAAGAACAAAUCUUCACAAAAUCAACAAAUCCGAACCGGAUUCACUCAAAACCAACUCAAAUCAUCACAAAAUCAACAAAUCCGAACCGGAAUCAUUCAAAACCACCGCGAAUCAUCACACCAACACCAAAUCCGUACCGGAUUUUCGAGCAAAAGCGGCACCACCGGAGCAAAUCCGCGCGCGCGCGGCGGAGAGAAGAGGAGGCUCGGAUUUUUUUUCUCCGUUUCACGACGACGGUAACACUUUUUUCCCUCGUUUUCGCGCAUAUACACAUGUGAAAAGUUUGUUACGAAUCAAGAUUUGUAGAUCUAGGCUUGUACGUUCGGAUUUUUGAAAUUUUGAGGCCGGAUUCGGACUCUAGAGCGAAAAGGAUAUCUAGAUCCGUAAGCUUUUUUUACAAAAAGAGUGAAAAAAUUCCGAAAGUUCAAACGUAGAUCUACGACGAAUCUCUCACCCCUUUUUAAAACUAGCACCGGAUUUGAGUAGAGGAGGAGGAGACGAAGCUUUUGGUAUAAAAAUUUAAAAAAAAAAAAAAGAAAAAAAAUUCCGACGCGGUGGCGCCGCCGCCGGAAACCGGCCGGCCACCGCGCCGGAAAAGCUCCGGCCGCCACCUCCACAUCAGCUCCGACCGGCUGUUUUUAGAGAGAAGGGAGAGCUUCUCUCUCUAAGUUUAACUUAGAGAGAGAAGAGGAAAGAAAUUGUGAGAUUUUUGUGAGAGAAAUCCUUUUUAUACUCCCUCCGAUCCCACGCGCGCGCGUGCGUGUUCUUGUUGUGUUCCCUCGCUCUGUGAACCAUCAGAUCUGGAUUGUUCCAAGAUCUGAUGGCUGCUGUGUGUUUGAUUUUGAAUCCUG